This 1562-nucleotide ribosomal RNA is filed under the name metagenome. Its description in RNAcentral is "bacterial LSU rRNA". It matches the Rfam family "Bacterial large subunit ribosomal RNA", at positions 1299 to 2925 of the family's 2925-position model. The record is from RNAcentral.
CCUAUGAGUAACGAUUAAUACGGUCAGAAACCGUAUCGCCGUAAGACUAAGGUUUCCUGGAUCGAUGUUCGACAGACCAGGGUGAGUCGGGACCUAAGAAGAACCCGAAAGGGGUAUUCGAUGGCAAACGGGUUAAUAUUCCCGUACCAGUUUACAAUAAAAGGGGACGGAGAUCUGAACUGAUCGCGCACUGACGGAAUAGUGCGUUGAACCAAUCGCAAGGUUGGGAUAGUACUCCAAUCCCGCAAGGGUGAGGAGAUAGUGUCAGGUAAGUUCUUCCAAGAAAAGCCGAAGUAAACUGCUCGUACCGCAAUCCGACACAGGUAGUCGAGGAGAGUACCCUCAGGCGCUCGAACGAUUCAUGGCUAAGGAACUAGGCAAAUUAGACGCGUAACUUCGGGAGAAGCGUCCCUCAGCAAUGAGGCGCAGUGAAACGGCCCAGGCGACUGUUUAGCAAAAACACAGGACUAUGCUAAUUCGAAAGAAGACGUAUAUGGUCUGACACCUGCCCGGUGCUGGAAGGUUAAGGAAGGGGGUUAGCGCAAGCGAAGCUCUUGACUGAAGCCCCAGUAAACGGCGGCCGUAACUAUAACGGUCCUAAGGUAGCGAAAUUCCUUGUCGGGUAAGUUCCGACCUGCACGAAUGGUGUAACGAUCUGGGCUCUGUCUCAGCCAUGAUUUCGGUGAAAUUGAAGUAUCGGUGAAGAUGCCGGUUACCCGCAACGGGACGAAAAGACCCCGUGCACCUUUACUAUAGCUUCACAUUGGUCUUGAGUCUAAAAUGUGUAGGAUAGCUGGGAGACUUUGAAGCUGCCACGCCAGUGGUGGUGGAGUCGUCCUUGAAAUACCAGCCUUUUUAUAUUUAGGUUCUAAUCCCUAAAGGGAGACAGUGUGUGGUGGGUAGUUUGACUGGGGUGGUCGCCUCCAAAAGAGUAACGGAGGCUCGCAAAGGUGCCCUCAGUACCGUUGGUAAUGGUACGAAGAGCGUAUGAGUAUAAGGGUGCUUGACUGAGAGAACGACGGUUCGACCAGGUGCGAAAGCAGGCUCAAGUGAUCCGGUAACUCCACAUGGGUGGGUUAUCGCUCAUAGGAUAAAAGGUACGCCGGGGAUAACAGGCUGAUCUCCCCCAAGAGCUCAUAUCGACGGGGAGGUUUGGCACCUCGAUGUCGGUUCGUCACAUCCUGGGGCUGGAGAAGGUCCCAAGGGUUGGGCUGUUCGCCCAUUAAAGUGGCACGUGAACUGGGUUCAGAACGUCGCAAGACAGUUCGGUCUCUAUCUGUUGCGGGCGCGGGAAUAUUGAAAAGAUCUGACACUAGUACGAGAGGACCGUGUUGGACGUACCGCUAGUGUACCAGUUGUGGCGCCAGCUGCACCGCUGGGUAGCUAUGUACGGAACGGAUAAGCGCUGAAAGCAUCUAAGCACGAAGCCGUCUUUAAGAUGAGUAUUCCAUUCCCCCUUGCGGGGAUGAAGGGUCGUAGAAGACUACUACGUUGAUAGGCUAUAGGUGGAAGUACAGUGAUGUAUGGAGCCGAGUAGUACUAAUAACCCGAAAGCUUCCUCU